Molecule: ribosomal RNA, 257 nt
Filed under: uncultured bacterium
Lineage: Bacteria
Description: partial 16S ribosomal RNA
Rfam family: Bacterial small subunit ribosomal RNA
Source: RNAcentral
UACAGAGGUCCCAAGCGUUGUUCGGAUUCACUGGGCGUAAAGGGUGCGUAGGCGGUCGGGUAAGUCUGAUGUGAAAUCUCCAAGCCUAACUUGGAAACUGCAUUGGAUACUAUCCGGCUAGAGGAAUGGAGGGGAGACUGGAAUACUUGGUGUAGCAGUGAAAUGCGAUAGUAGAUCAAGUGGAACACCAGUGGCGAAGGCGAGUCUCUGGACAUUUCCUGACGCUGAGGCACGAAAGCCAGGGGGGAGCAAACGGG